This 104-nucleotide small nuclear RNA is filed under the name Neotoma lepida (desert woodrat). Lineage: Eukaryota; Metazoa; Chordata; Mammalia; Rodentia; Cricetidae. The record is from RNAcentral.
UAUUUAAGACUAAGUAGCUUGCUGAUUUAGGAACAGUAUAAAGAAAAUUAGCAUGGACCCUGUGCAAGGACGACCCCAAAAUUCGUGAAGUGUUCCUUCCAUAU